UGUCUGGCGGCAGUAGCGCGGUGGUCCCACCUGACCCCAUGCCGAACUCAGAAGUGAAACGCCGUAGCGCCGAUGGUAGUGUGGGGUCUCCCCAUGCGAGAGUAGGGAACUGCCAGACA
This 119-nucleotide ribosomal RNA is filed under the name Salmonella enterica subsp. enterica serovar Typhi str. Ty2. Lineage: Bacteria; Pseudomonadati; Pseudomonadota; Gammaproteobacteria; Enterobacterales; Enterobacteriaceae. The record is from RNAcentral.